This is a small nucleolar RNA of Prunus persica (peach), 120 nucleotides long. It matches the Rfam family "Small nucleolar RNA snoR104". Lineage: Eukaryota; Viridiplantae; Streptophyta; Magnoliopsida; Rosales; Rosaceae. The record is from Rfam.
GAGGAGCAUCCAAAAGUUAGGAUGUUACCUGAUACAAUCUUCCUACAGAAAAUCUCUGUAGUAUUUUCCUGCUUGCAGUACUUAGCAAUAUCUGCAAGUCUCAGAUUAUCAGAGACAUGA